AAGCCUCGCCUGUUUACCAAAAACACCGCCUCUUGCAAAAUCAAUGAAUAAGAGGUCCCGCCUGCCCUGUGACUCUAAGUUUAACGGCCGCGGUAUUUUGACCGUGCGAAGGUAGCGCAAUCACUUGUCUUUUAAAUGGAGACCUGUAUGAAUGGCAACACGAGGGCUUGACUGUCUCCUCUUUCAAGUCAAUGAAAUUGAUCUCCCCGUGCAGAAGCGGGGAUACAGUCAUAAGACGAGAAGACCCUAUGGAGCUUUAGACACGAAAGCAGCCCCUGUUAAACAUCCCCUCUCAAGGGACAAAACCAAAGGAAGCCUGCCCUAAUGUCUUUGGUUGGGGCGACCGCGGGGAAACACAAAACCCCCACGUGGAAUAGGACCACCUGUUCCUUAAUCAGAGAGCUCCCGCUCUAAGAAACAAAAUUUUUGACCUCCAGAUCCGGCAAAGCCGAUCAACGGACCGAGUUACCCUAGGGAUAACAGCGCAAUCCUCUUUUAGAGCCCAUAUCGACAAGGGGGUUUACGACCUCGAUGUUGGAUCAGGACAUCCUAAUGGUGCAGCCGCUAUUAAGGGUUCGUUUGUUCAACGAUUAAAGUCCUACGUGAUCUGAGUUCAG
RNAcentral lists this ribosomal RNA (617 nucleotides) under Symphodus trutta. RNAcentral's name for it is "Centrolabrus trutta partial 16S ribosomal RNA". It matches the Rfam family "Bacterial large subunit ribosomal RNA", at positions 1791 to 2614 of the family's 2925-position model. Lineage: Eukaryota; Metazoa; Chordata; Actinopteri; Labriformes; Labridae. The record is from RNAcentral.